UUACAGGCUUAACACAUGCAAGUCGAGGGGCAGCAUGGUCUUAGCUUGCUAAGGCCGAUGGCGACCGGCGCACGGGUGAGUAACACGUAUCCAACCUGCCGUCUACUCUUGGACAGCCUUCUGAAAGGAAGAUUAAUACAAGAUGGCAUCAUGAGUCCGCAUGUUCACAUGAUUAAAGGUAUUCCGGUAGACGAUGGGGAUGCGUUCCAUUAGAUAGUAGGCGGGGUAACGGCCCACCUAGUCUUCGAUGGAUAGGGGUUCUGAGAGGAAGGUCCCCCACAUUGGAACUGAGACACGGUCCAAACUCCUACGGGAGGCAGCAGUGAGGAAUAUUGGUCAAUGGGCGAGAGCCUGAACCAGCCAAGUAGCGUGAAGGAUGACUGCCCUAUGGGUUGUAAACUUCUUUUAUAAAGGAAUAAAGUCGGGUAUGGAUACCCGUUUGCAUGUACUUUAUGAAUAAGGAUCGGCUAACUCCGUGCCAGCAGCCGCGGUAAUACGGAGGAUCCGAGCGUUAUCCGGAUUUAUUGGGUUUAAAGGGAGCGUAGAUGGAUGUUUAAGUCAGUUGUGAAAGUUCGCGGCUCAACCGUAAAAUUGCAGUUGAUACUGGAUAUCUUGAGUGCAGUUGAGGCAGGCGGAAUUCGUGGUGUAGCGGUGAAAUGCUUAGAUAUCACGAAGAACUCCGAUUGCGAAGGCAGCCUGCUAAGCUGCAACUGAAAUUGAAGCUCGAAAGUGUGGGUAUCAAACAGGAUUAGAUACCCCUGGUAGUCCACACGGUAAACGAUGAAUACUCGCUGUUUUGCGAUAUACUGCAAGCGGCCAAGCGAAAGCGUUAAGUAUUCCACCUGGGGAGUACGCCGGCAACGGUGAAACUCAAAGGAAUUGACGGGGGCCCGCACAAGCGGAGGAACAUGUGGUUUAAUUCGAUGAUACGCGAGGAACCUUACCCGGGCUUAAAUUGCAGAUGAAUUACGGUGAAAGCCGUAAGCCGCAAGGCAUCUGUGAAGGUGCUGCAUGGUUGUCGUCAGCUCGUGCCGUGAGGUGUCGGCUUAAGUGCCAUAACGAGCGCAACCCUUGUUGUCAGUUACUAACAGGUUCCGCUGAGGACUCUGACAAGACUGCCAUCGUAAGAUGUGAGGAAGGUGGGGAUGACGUCAAAUCAGCACGGCCCUUACGUCCGGGGCUACACACGUGUUACAAUGGGGGGUACAGAGGGCCGCUACCACGCGAGUGGAUGCCAAUCCCCAAAACCUCUCUCAGUUCGGACUGGAGUCUGCAACCCGACUCCACGAAGCUGGAUUCGCUAGUAAUCGCGCAUCAGCCACGGCGCGGUGAAUACGUUCCCGGGCCUUGUACACACCGCCCGUCAAGCCAUGGGAGCCGGGGGUACCUGAAGUGCGUAACCGCGAGGAGCGCCCUAGGGUAAAACUGGUGACUGGGGCUAAAUACAU
This 1448-nucleotide ribosomal RNA is filed under the name uncultured organism. RNAcentral describes it as "SSU rRNA". It matches the Rfam family "Bacterial small subunit ribosomal RNA". The record is from RNAcentral.